GGCAGCUCACCUCAACAGCCUUGGUGUAGAGGCCAGCGGUGGCGCGAACCUGCAGCAUGUACGAGGACUUGCGACCCUCGUUGCGUGCCCCAGCACCUGCAAUACCACCAGCAGCAAUCACCGCACAGCGGCGAGGAGAGUUGAGCAUUAAUACGCAGGGCCAUACAACACGUGGAUGAUGGGAAAGCAAUCAGGUUCGACCCUAGGAAGGGGAGGUGGUGAGCUGGCCAUCUCUCCGUCACCACCUGGGCCAGGGCAGUUCUUCCACCACCUGGCAACAAAGCCGUGUGGGGUGCAGGCACUCACAACUACUCCCUUGUUGGACUUCAUAAAAGGCUCCACCACCAUCACCUCCACCACUACCACCACUACCACCACCACCACCACCACCACCACCACCACCACCACCUAGGCUCGUGGCACUUGAUCACAGACCUACAGUCUGGUUAAGAGCGUGACCUGUUGCUCAAACUUCCUCCUCAUCCCCCAUCAUCUAAGGAAGUAAUAAGAUCUACGCUGCAUAUUAGUACGAUCACAUAUAUUAUUACUUACAGUGUUAACCUUUCUUGCUUUCUCUUGCUUACAGUAGGUGAUUGUAAGGAAGUAGUUGUUACAUCAGAUACUCUUACCUUGUAAUGGAUUAAUGCUUUCUGACAAGAUUUUUUGUCGUUGGGAAUUAUAUUAUUUUGUGUGCUGGUUUAUGUGCACACCAACAUUGUAUCAGUCUGUUACGGUGUGUAAAAACCAGAGUUUUACGUGUCUGGUUUUUACAAUUCCCAUUAUAGAAGAUCAAUAGCUUUAUUUUACUCAAACCGUGAGGUAGUUGACAACCACAAGCCGCUGCUUGGAUACCACUAUGACAAUCUCAGUACAAACAACAACAACAACAACAACUGCAUUAUUAUUAUUAGCAAUAAAUGUGAUGUACUUUGGGUAUAAUAUUUUGAGGAGCAUUGUGAGUAUUUCAGGUAGAACAAAAGCUAACAUUAACAUGAUCACUGAGUUUGAGUUUAUAAUACUUCUUAAUGUCAUAAGUUCGUAAUGCUCUUAACAUUAGAAACUCCUUCGUAAAGGAAGAUAAUUAUUACCCUCAUUAAAACUAUUUUUCCUAAAAGCUGACUGUUUGUAAGAAGAAACGAAAGUAAAAACUUUCAAGUCUAUUUUCUGACAGCUUAAUUAACAUAUAAGCUCACCAGAGUACCUCACAAUUGCACUUUCCAAAAAUUAAUCCAAAAUUUUCUUAAAAAUCAAAGUAUUGUUCCAUCUUUUAAGGAGGAAACCUCCCAAGGGCUUCACUGAAUCAGCAGGAGUUCCUCAAGGCUCCCGAUCAAGCCCUAAAUUUUGCAAUUUAUAAAUGAGAAUGGCCCUUCAGUUUAUGUAGAAUUAGAGCAUUUUCACUUAAUUUGAAGAAAAUAUAAUCCACGUAGUGACCGCCACGUAAGACAGUCACAGCUUCGGGCAAACAGGAAGUUAUCAUUAAAACAAGUAACGAAUCACAGCAUAUAUCCAAAGUAAAGUGUACAAUCUUGGCAGGUUCAAGUUGGUUCAGUUGUCUAUGAACUUUACAAGACGUUGCAGGAAUCAUCAUUAAAUGGUUACCAUUUUAUGUUCACGACUCUCAUACAGGUUUACGUAAUAUUAAAGUUUCACAGCAUCCCCACACAUGAAGAGGACAAAAAUAAUCUCUCACCACCAGGACCAACACAAUACCCAUGCAACGAGUACAAAGCAAAGCCCUCCAUUUUAUUUUAAACGUUUUUCUGAAAGAAAAUAGAGAAUACAGGAUGGAAGUGCUAUACACGCUGCAAAAAAAAAAAAAUAAAAUAAAAAUUAAAAUAAAUAAAUAAACAUGAGAUUCCAUAACUUCUCUCUCCAGCUCUCUUUAAAAAAAAUCCACAAAUUAAAGUGAAUGUAGGAUAUAAAUAUGGACAAAAUCCCUGUUACAAGAUAACAGACUAAACUAAUAACAAAGAGAGGACACUGCUGAGAUGUCUGUAGAGCGGAGGAGGCGUGUGAGAGCAAGUUAUCGCUCAAGUGAUAACCUUGCUUUUACAUCCCUGACAGAAAGAACACCAUUACGUCAACACUAAAGACUAACAUGUAAAACCAGCCACUCACAACCUACUAUAUGUCAAUAUAACAGAAAACAAGAAUAUACAUAAACUCGAAUACCCAAGACCUAUAAUUCAAAAUGAUGAAAAAAUGAAGAGAAAUGAGAUGUCAAAAAUCUCCAUUUACACAUAACGAACAAAAAAAUCCCCCCCUCCCCAGAAUAAAAAGAAACUAGUAAGCCAGAAAUGAGUCUGGUGUUGUACUUUACAUGAGAGUACGUGUAGCAACCAGAGUACUACAAGCACUCAUUAAUGAAUUUACCUUGAGGUGUGUACCUGCCAAGUAGCGCAGCCCCAAAGGCAUCGUCUAGUCUUCACAACAAUCUACACAUAAAAACUAAAUGAAAAAUACUACAAAAAUCUUACAAACCCACAAUGAUUCAGCAACAUACCUUUUUAAUCCCUGCUUUCACAUGCAUCCACACCCCAACAUGAACCAAAUUUCUAUUCCCCAUUUUAUUCUUCUUGCCUAUUUACUUGUAUUUCCUAUAUCCCCACUUUUCCACCAUCACCAUUCUUAUAGUAAAAAAAAAGCUAAUUAUAUUUCUCUUCAGAUUUAAAGAUGCUACCAUUACAGUGCUAUUUUAAUAAUUCUAGUGUAUCCUGAAUAAUAAUUAUUCCAUGUUUCUUUUUUGUAUUUCACAC
Cherax quadricarinatus is the source of this 2756-nucleotide non-coding RNA. NCBI's taxonomy places the organism in Eukaryota, Metazoa, Arthropoda, Malacostraca, Decapoda, Parastacidae. The record is from RefSeq and is a predicted model, not a curated record.